AACGAACGCUGGCGGCAUGCCUUACACAUGCAAGUCGAACGGCAGCACGGGGCAACCUGGUGGCGAGUGGCGAACGGGUGAGUAAUGCAUCGGAACGUACCUUUCAGUGGGGGAUAACGUAGCGAAAGUUACGCUAAUACCGCAUAUUCUGUGAGCAGGAAAGCAGGGGAUCGCAAGACCUUGCGCUGAUUGAGCGGCCGAUGUGAGAUUAGCUAGUUGGUGAGGUAAAGGCUCAAUAAGGCGACGAUCUGUAGCGGGCAUGAGAGGAUGAUCCGCCAGCCGGGGACGGAGACACGUCCAAGACUCCUACGGGAGGAAGCAGUGGGGAAUUUGGGACAAUGGGGGCAACACUGAUCCAGCCAUGCCGCGUGAGUGAAGAAGGCCUUCGGGUUGUAAAGCUCUUUCGGCCGGGAAGAAAUCGCACGGGCUAAUACCCUGUGUGGAUGACGGUACCGGAAUAAGAAGCACCGGCUAACUACGUGCCAGCCGCCGCCGUAA
This 498-nucleotide ribosomal RNA is filed under the name uncultured bacterium. Its description in RNAcentral is "partial 16S ribosomal RNA". It matches the Rfam family "Bacterial small subunit ribosomal RNA", at positions 29 to 523 of the family's 1533-position model. The record is from RNAcentral.